CUGCUGCCUUCCGUAGGAGUAUGGACCGUUCUCAGUUCCAUUGUGGCCGUUCAACCUCUCAGUCCGGCUACGCAUCAUCGCCUUGGUAGGCCCUUACCCCACCAACUAGCUAAUGCGCCACAGGCCCCUCCUUAAGCAGAUCUCUCUUUUAAAUAUAAAAGAUUCUUCCUCUAUAUCCUAUCCAGUUUUAUCCAUCGUUUCCAAUGGCUAUCCUCGUCUUAAGGGUAGGUUACCUAUGUAUUACUCACCCGUUCGCCACUAAA
RNAcentral lists this ribosomal RNA (263 nucleotides) under uncultured bacterium. Its description in RNAcentral is "partial 16S ribosomal RNA". The record is from RNAcentral.